UCUUUCUCGUAGACCCAUGGGUUCUCUCUGAGCAAAAACUGUGAAAGAGUUUAUAGAAUACAACAGGAAAGACUUGAAGAUGACACCUUUGUAGUUGGAACUAAAAAAAGACUAACUUAACAAAUGUUGUCUGGAUUCUAUCCCAGCUCCUGUAAAUCAGCUAUUUAUCCAUUCUGUGCCUGCUUCUCAUUGACUCCAGCAUCAGCUUUGUGAACAGUCAGUCGAAUACGUCACUAACAGGCCAUUUGAUCCAGCCCGCCACCCCCAACUUGAAAACAGAUAUUUGAAAUUACAGAAAAGCCUUCACUAGCUCUCUCCAGGGUUGCCAGUG
Talpa occidentalis (Iberian mole) is the source of this 331-nucleotide long non-coding RNA. RefSeq lists it as uncharacterized. The transcript is spliced from 4 exons. NCBI's taxonomy places the organism in Eukaryota, Metazoa, Chordata, Mammalia, Eulipotyphla, Talpidae. The record is from RefSeq and is a predicted model, not a curated record.